UACGUAGGGGGCAAGCGUUGUCCGGAUUUAUUGGGCGUAAAGCGCGUGUAGGUGGCCAAGUAGGUCCGCUGUGAAAACUUGAGGCUCAACCUCAAGCUGUCGGUGGAAACCCCCUGGCUAGAGUCCGGAAGAGGAGAGUGGAAUUCCUGGUGUAGCGGUGAAAUGCGCAGAUAUCAGGAAGAACACCAAUGGCGAAGGCAGCUCUCUGGGACGGUACUGACACUGAGACGCGAAAGCGUGGGGAGCGAACAGG
RNAcentral lists this ribosomal RNA (253 nucleotides) under uncultured bacterium. Its description in RNAcentral is "partial 16S ribosomal RNA". It matches the Rfam family "Bacterial small subunit ribosomal RNA", at positions 524 to 776 of the family's 1533-position model. The record is from RNAcentral.